RNAcentral lists this ribosomal RNA (522 nucleotides) under uncultured bacterium. RNAcentral describes it as "bacterial SSU rRNA". It matches the Rfam family "Bacterial small subunit ribosomal RNA", at positions 777 to 1297 of the family's 1533-position model. The record is from RNAcentral.
AAUAGAUACCCGGGUAGUCCACGCCGUAAACGAUGAGUGCUAAGUGUUAGAGGGUUUCCGCCCUUUAGUGCUACAGCUAACGCAUUAAGCACUCCGCCUGGGGAGUACGGCCGCAAGGCUGAAACUCAAAGGAAUUGACGGGGGCCCGCACAAGCGGUGGAGCAUGUGGUUUAAUUCGAAGCAACGCGAAGAACCUUACCAGGUCUUGACAUCCUCUGCCAACCCUAGAGAUAGGGCGUUCCCCUUCGGGGGACAGAGUGACAGGUGGUGCAUGGUUGUCGUCAGCUCGUGUCGUGAGAUGUUGGGUUAAGUCCCGCAACGAGCGCAACCCUUGAUCUUAGUUGCCAGCAUUCAGUUGGGCACUCUAAGGUGACUGCCGGUGACAAACCGGAGGAAGGUGGGGAUGACGUCAAAUCAUCAUGCCCCUUAUGACCUGGGCUACACACGUGCUACAAUGGAUGGUACAAAGAGCUGCGAACCCGCGAGGGUAAGCCAAUCUCAUAAAGCCAUUCUCAGUUCGGA